AUAUCAAUAAGCGGAGGAAAAGAAACCAACAGGGAUUGCCUUAGUAACGGCGAGUGAAGCGGCAAAAGCUCAAAUUUGAAAUCUGGCACCUUCGGUGUCCGAGUUGUAAUUUGAAGAAGGUAACUUUGGAGUUGGCUCUUGUCUAUGUUCCUUGGAACAGGACGUCACAGAGGGUGAGAAUCCCGUGCGAUGAGAUGCCCAAUUCUAUGUAAAGUGCUUUCGAAGAGUCGAGUUGUUUGGGAAUGCAGCUCUAAGUGGGUGGUAAAUUCCAUCUAAAGCUAAAUAUUGGCGAGAGACCGAUAGCGAACAAGUACAGUGAUGGAAAGAUGAAAAGAACUUUGAAAAGAGAGUGAAAAAGUACGUGAAAUUGUUGAAAGGGAAGGGCUUGAGAUCAGACUUGGUAUUUUGCGAUCCUUUCCUUCUUGGUUGGGUUCCUCGCAGCUUACUGGGCCAGCAUCGGUUUGGAUGGUAGGAUAAUGACUAAGGAAUGUGGCUCUACUUCGGUGGAGUGUUAUAGCCUUGGUUGAUACUGCCUGUCUAGACCGAGGAC
RNAcentral lists this ribosomal RNA (550 nucleotides) under Debaryomyces hansenii var. hansenii. RNAcentral's name for it is "eukaryotic LSU rRNA". It matches the Rfam family "Eukaryotic large subunit ribosomal RNA", at positions 40 to 595 of the family's 3401-position model. The record is from RNAcentral. Lineage: Eukaryota; Fungi; Ascomycota; Pichiomycetes; Serinales; Debaryomycetaceae.